Molecule: ribosomal RNA, 253 nt
Filed under: uncultured bacterium
Lineage: Bacteria
Description: partial 16S ribosomal RNA
Rfam family: Bacterial small subunit ribosomal RNA
Source: RNAcentral
UACGGAAGGUCCGGGCGUUAUCCGGAUUUAUUGGGUUUAAAGGGAGCGUAGGCCGGGUUUUAAGCGUGCCGUGAAAUGUCGGGGCUCAACCUUGACACUGCAGCGCGAACUGGAGUCCUUGAGUGGGCGAGAAGUAUGCGGAAUGCGUGGUGUAGCGGUGAAAUGCAUAGAUAUCACGCAGAACCCCGAUUGCGAAGGCAGCAUACGGCAGCGCUACUGACGCUGAAGCUCGAAGGCGCGGGUAUCGAACAGG